RNAcentral lists this ribosomal RNA (914 nucleotides) under uncultured bacterium. RNAcentral's name for it is "bacterial SSU rRNA". It matches the Rfam family "Bacterial small subunit ribosomal RNA", at positions 9 to 923 of the family's 1533-position model. The record is from RNAcentral.
GAGUUUGAUCCUGGCUCAGGAUAAACGCUGGCGGCGUGCCUAAUACAUGCAAGUCGAUCGAUGGAAACCUAGCUUGCUAGGUGGAAGUAGAGGCGAACGGGUGAGUAACACAUAAGCAACCUGCCUACAAAGACUGGGAUAAUCUCUGGAAACGGGGACUAAGACCGGAUAGGUAAUAGGACCACAUGAUCUUAUUAUUAAAGGUGAGAAACACUAGUAGAUGGGCUUAUGGCGCAUUAGUUAGUUGGUAAGGUAACGGCCUACCAAGACGAUGAUGCGUAGCCGGGCUGAGAGGCUGAACGGCCACAUUGGGACUGAGACACGGCCCAGACUCCUACGGGAGGCAGCAGUAGGGAAUUUUCGGCAAUGGGGGAAACCCUGACCGAGCAACGCCGCGUGAGUGAUGAAAGUCUUCGGAUUGUAAAGCUCUGUUAUAAGGGAAGAACGUCCCGGAUAGUCUCCGGGAGUGACGGUACCUUAUCAGAAAGCUACGGCUAACUACGUGCCAGCAGCCGCGGUAAUACGUAGGUAGCGAGCGUUAUCCGGAAUUAUUGGGCGUAAAGGGUGCGUAGGCGGCUUGUUAAGUUUAAGGUGAAAGCGUGGGGCUCAACCCCAUAAAGCCUUAGAUACUGACGAGCUAGAGUACUGGAGAGGGUAGUGGAAUUCCAUGUGUAGCGGUAAAAUGCGUAGAUAUAUGGAGGAACACCGGUGGCGAAGGCGGCUACCUAGACAGAGACUGACGCUGAUGCACGAAAGCGUGGGGAGCAGAUAGGAUUAGAUACCCUAGUAGUCCACGCUGUAAACGAUGAAUACUAGGUAUCGGGGCAACUCGGGUGCCGCAGUUAACACGAUAAGUAUUCCGCCUGUGGAGUAUGCACGCAAGUGUGAAACUCAAAGGAAUUGACGGAUCUUUC